This 563-nucleotide ribosomal RNA is filed under the name Fusarium sp. CPK3510. Its description in RNAcentral is "eukaryotic LSU rRNA". The stretch from base 159 to 312 matches the Rfam family "5.8S ribosomal RNA". Lineage: Eukaryota; Fungi; Ascomycota; Sordariomycetes; Hypocreales; Nectriaceae. The record is from RNAcentral.
GGACAUUACCGAGUUAUACAACUCAUCAACCCUGUGAACAUACCUAAAACGUUGCUUCGGCGGGAACAGACGGCCCUGUAACAACGGGCCGCCCCCGCCAGAGGACCCCUAACUCUGUUUUUAUAAUGUUUUUCUGAGUAAACAAGCAAAUAAAUUAAAACUUUCAACAACGGAUCUCUUGGCUCUGGCAUCGAUGAAGAACGCAGCGAAAUGCGAUAAGUAAUGUGAAUUGCAGAAUUCAGUGAAUCAUCGAAUCUUUGAACGCACAUUGCGCCCGCCAGUAUUCUGGCGGGCAUGCCUGUUCGAGCGUCAUUACAACCCUCAGGCCCCCGGGCCUGGCGUUGGGGAUCGGCAGAAGCCCCCUGUGGGCACACGCCGUCCCUCAAAUACAGUGGCGGUCCCGCCGCAGCUUCCAUUGCGUAGUAGCUAACACCUCGCAACUGGAGAGCGGCGCGGCCAUGCCGUAAAACACCCAACUUCUGAAUGUUGACCUCGAAUCAGGUAGGAAUACCCGCUGAACUUAAGCAUAUCAAUAAGCGGAGGGAAAAAAACCAACCCAUUUC